Molecule: unclassified non-coding RNA, 1582 nt
Filed under: Leishmania donovani
Lineage: Eukaryota; Euglenozoa; Kinetoplastea; Trypanosomatida; Trypanosomatidae
Description: gene:LdHU3.08.1630(CDS-product:hypothetical_prote in_conserved)
Source: RNAcentral
ACUCAAGUGACGGGCGUGCAAACGACGCGACCAUCCAUGCACGCCUCUCCCCAUCUCUCCCCUCCGCAUCGUCACUGACAGCUCUCCUCCUUUGCCAAUCACGAGAGAGGAGCGAGACAGAUAGCAGCAGCACUGCACAGCGGCUGUGGGAGACUUUCCUUCCCCUCUCUUUAUGUUGGCGCCGCUGCCGCUGCCGCUGGCGUGUGUGUGCAUGCGCAUGUGAUAUGCCGCUCCCUCUUACGUCUUUGGCAAGAGCCAUGGCCUCCCCUUGUGCGGUGGCAGGCAGCACCACUACCGGCACCGCUGUCGCCGCGGGUAACAGCAGCGGCACCGACUGCUACGUCAUUGUAUGGGUCGAGGGCCGAGAACGACCGGUGUACGCGUGCACUGCGCCUCUUCCCUCCAGUGGGUCCUCCGCGUCGUUGCCCUCGGCCGCUUCUGCCGGCGCCGCUGCUGUUCCAGCGGUGAACGUGGUGACGCUGCGGCGCUUCUUCGGCGCCCUCGUCCUUCUCUCGUCCCCGCCGCCGGCGGCGAGGGCGCGGGCAGGCGGGCACUGUGCGGCGCUGUCUUGCGCCGCCUCCUUUACUCGAGAGACCGCUCCUGUGCUGUGCGCAACCCUUCCGCUGGGCUUGGUGGGCGCCUUCGGCGCGUCGCCGCCGUACUACUACGUCGCUGUGUUGGCCCCAGGCACUGCUGCCGUGGUGGGCAACCAGCUGCUGGCCUGGCUGGCCUCCAGUGUGCUGGCAGCGCUCCAUCCCGACUCGUGGGCAACGGCUGCGUUGCCGACUGGGCAGGCGUGCGGCACGGCGCUUCUAUCGCUCGCCGCUGAUGCACCGGACUUGUGCUCGCAACUUGCUCUGUACGGUGCUGCCGAGGUCGGCAGAGCACGCGCCGGCGCCGCCGCGAUGGAGGACUACGGCGCUCGAGAGGUGUUGGCGGACAGCGCCGGACAGUCCACCCUAGCUGCGGUGCUCCAGGAGUUCGAGCCGUGCCGUGACUCACCCGUGGCUGUUGCGAUCAGCACCCUCCUCCGAAGGUGCUGGGUGCCCUUCACCGUUUCGCCCGCCACAACCGCAGCCUCCCUGCACAUCUCGCUCGCCGGCUACUUCACCCUUCCGUUCCCGUCCUGUCUCCGUGCAAGCAGUUCUGCUGCUUCACCUCCGGCGCCAACCCUCUACGCGUGCUCGGCCGGCUGCUGGGAGGCGCUGCGCCUCCUCGCCUCCUUCUGCAGCCGCCGCACACCGGAUCUCCAGCAAACCAGCAGCGCGGACGCCGCGCCUCUGGCAGUUCUCCCCCUCGGUGGCAGCAGCAGCGGCGGUGCGGUGGCCCUGAUUGCAGCGAGCGUCGGAUACGUGCACCCAGACACGGCCCUGUACCAGGCGGUGCUUGUCCACGGCGAGCGUCCUUCCCGCGGCGGCGCUGUCAACUGCGCUGCUCCAUAUGUUCGCUACUUGACCACCAGCGAGGUCGCUGCCUGCGGAACUCCCUGGCAUCCCGACGCACUACGCAGCGUGUGGGCAUGACGUGCUUCCUGUGGCAUAUGUGCUCGUGCGUGCGUGUCUGCACAUACUUCGGAUCAAAC